RNAcentral lists this long non-coding RNA (1306 nucleotides) under Homo sapiens (human). Its description in RNAcentral is "HSALNT0407262". Lineage: Eukaryota; Metazoa; Chordata; Mammalia; Primates; Hominidae. The record is from RNAcentral.
CACCAUGUUGGCCAGGAUGGUCUCGAUCUCUUGACCUCUUGAUCCGCCCGCCUCGGCCUCCCAAAGUGCUGGGAUUACAGGCGUAAGCCACCAGCGCCCUGCCGGAACUCUUAAAUUCUGGUUCUUAAUUCCCACUCUUUUAAUUAAGCAACCUGGAAAGCAUGCUUUGCUGGCUCAUCUCCCCAAAAAUGUCCACAAAUUAUCCUUGUACUGUGUCCCUUGGAUAGUUUUUUUUUGGGGGGGGGGAAUGACAUUUUAAAAGUGACCAGAAAUUCCUGAACAAAGUAGUCAGCAAGAGUAAACUGGUGCAAGAAAGUCAGACUGGAUAAAGAAGAGAUCUGGCCUAGAACUGGAAGAAAGAUGAUAUUUUAAGGCAAGAAGCCAGCCCAACCCAAGAUAGCAGAGAUCCUGGAUUAUUUUGAGACAGACUUAGAAGGAUCCAUUUCAUGAAAAAUGUCCUAGAAAUAUGACAGUCAGACUCUCGUGUUAAAGGCCAUGUAGUCCAACCAUCCACUUGUGCUGAAAUCGCUCACAACAUCCCCACCAAGUGGUCGCCCUUGCCUACAUUCUUCUAUUUUCCGUUCUCCAGUGUUCUUCUAUCUUUUGGAGCUCUACAGAAGGCCAUGAAGCACACCAUCAGAUGUUUGAAGGUGGCACGUGGGGUGAUGGUGCUAAUAUCGCUAUACAAGCCAUGCAGGGCCCUUUCUUCAUUUUGCCCGUCUUUAAAGGGUGGAAGUUCUGGAGAGAGUCACUACAUAGAUAAUGUGAGGAGGAUCUCUGAUUCCCGCCAUGACAGAGUAACUGGAAAUGAACUUUCCUUCUCACCAUAAACAGCUAUAAAACUGGGAGAAAAUAUCCACGACACAUAUGUCUCACAAGAGACUUGUAUCCAGAAUUCUUAAAGAAUGCUUUCAAUAAUAAAAUGACAAAAAUUCCAAUUUAAAAAUGCAUAAAAUACUUGAAAAGAAUCAUGGUUACCAGGGGCUGGGGUGGUUGACAGGGGGUUGGGGAAAUGUUGGUCAAAGGACAUAAAAUUUGGUUGAAUAGGAGGGAUAAGUUCAAGAGAUCUAUUUUACAAUCUGGUGACUGUAGUUAGCAAUAUAUUGUAUUUUUGAAAAAUGCUAGGAGAAUGGAUGUAAAGUGUUCUCACCAUACAAAUGAAAACGAUGUGAGGUAAUGCAUGUGUUAAUUUGCUAUAUUUAGUCAUUCCACAAUGCAUAUAUACUUCAAAACAAUAUGUUGUACAAAGUAAAGGCAUAAAAUUUUAUCUGUCAAUUUAAAGUAAAUAAAUGAAUGAACAAAUGAA